CCUACGAGAGGCAGCAGUGGGGAAUAUUGCACAAUGGGGGAAACCCUGAUGCAGCGACGCCGCGUGAGUGAAGAAGUAUUUCGGUAUGUAAAGCUCUGUCAGCAGGGAAGAAGAAAGACGGUACCUGACUAAGAAGCCCCGGCUAACUACGUGCCAGCAGCAGCGGUAAUACGUAGGGGGCAAGCGUUAUCCGGAUUUACUGGGUGGAAAGGGAGCGUAGACGGGUGUGCAAGUCUGAAGUGAAAGCCCAGGGCUCAAACCCGGGACUGCGUUGGAAACUGUGGAACUAGAGUGAUGGAGAGGUAAGUGGAAUUCCUAGUGUAGCGGUGAAAUGCGUAGAUAUUAGGAGGAACACCAGUGGCGAAGGCGGCUUACUGGACAGUAACUGACGUUGAGGCUCGAAAGCGUGGGGAGCAAACAGGAUUAGAUACCCUUGUAGUC
This 441-nucleotide ribosomal RNA is filed under the name uncultured bacterium. RNAcentral's name for it is "partial 16S ribosomal RNA". It matches the Rfam family "Bacterial small subunit ribosomal RNA", at positions 338 to 795 of the family's 1533-position model. The record is from RNAcentral.